This is a long non-coding RNA of Zalophus californianus (California sea lion), 1215 nucleotides long. RefSeq lists it as uncharacterized. The record is from RefSeq and is a predicted model, not a curated record. Lineage: Eukaryota; Metazoa; Chordata; Mammalia; Carnivora; Otariidae. The transcript is spliced from 4 exons.
UUGGAACACAGACAGGGCCUCUUCUGAGUAACCACAAGGAGAGGACAAACAGACUCAACGGCACUCCUCCAAGUGGCUGGCUAGCGCCCAUGAGCUUUGGAACACUGUGGUUAACCCCAGACUCUGUCAGGAGGGAAAAGUCCCAACUCUCCAGUUAGUUGCUUCCACAAAAGUAAGCCAAAAUGAGUCAUAUAAAGAUGGAGAAACCAACAGAGACAGCCUUCCAUGUAAGGAUCACCAGCAAGAAUUAAAUCUGGAGACAGGAGAAUCUGAAGAACCUGGGCGGCUGAUGUUCCUUCUCAAAAAUUGUCAAAAGCUCUGCUGACAUGUGCGGCUGCACGGUGCACCAUUGAACUGAUUCCCUCGUACACAUCUUUGCUGCUGUUUCAGUAGGCCUCUGAGUGGGACGGAAGGACACAGUAACAGUGAUGCUGUCUUCUCUGUUCAAAGAGGAAGCCACUGACCAAGGAAGGACUGAGGUGGUUUCCAGUAAGGCGAUGGGAGGAUGCAUCUCUUCCCAUGGCCAGGCAGUGACGCACAGACCGAAGCUCAGAAACAAAACCAUCCUGAAGGAUGCUACCCUGGGAACCCUGACAACACGUUGUGAGGAAGCUCAUGCCACAUGGAGAAGCUGACAUGGAGUGGAACUGAGCCCUCCCUCUAGCAGGCAGUACCCAUUUGCCAGCCAUGUGAGGGCCAUCUUGGAAGUGGGUCCUCCAGCUGCAGUCAAACCUUCAAAUAAUUACACCUCCGGCCAACACGUUCUUGUUACCUCAUGAGAAACUCCUAAACCAGAACCUUUCCCAAAUUCCUAGCUCACAGAAACUAUGGGAGAUUUUUGUAGUUUUUAAGCCACUAAGUUUUGGGGUAAUUUAUUAGGGAGUAUUUAUGUGAACCAGAUUGAUGCCAUCUCGGACAAAUCCGCCAUGAUAACCCCUCUGUGACCUGAAGCCUUCUUUGAGCACACACACCCCCCCCCCCACCACCACCACCAUUCUUCCCUUUUGUUUAACCACACCCUUAAGUACACUCUUAGAGCAUAACAUCCUUGAUCUGCAUUGGAGAUAUGACUGUGAUUCUCAAACAUUCUCCUCGUGAGUGGUCUCCCAGCCUCUAAGGCUAUGAAAACAGGUCAAAGACAGAUCUUACAGGAGGUGGGGUUGCAGAGGUCUUCUCUUGCCACCACCCAAGACGUGUAAAUCCCUUUAAUAAAUC